UUGUCAACUUGUCUGAUCUGAUGGUCACAGCAGCCUGGGAAUGAGGGGUGUUUUCUUCCCAUUUUGCAGAUGACGCAAGAUGGUAGUGAGAAGUGACAGAACGACGUGAUGUCUGGUGGAAACAGCCUGACAAAUUCUCCCUGUUUUUUCAGCAUCUCACAUUGGAAACUCCUUAAGGAGCUACAUCGGCCCCUCGUUCCUACCAGCUAUGAAGUUAUCUACUUCUUGUUUAUCUCAUCAAGGCUUUGACAUAUUGCCAUCAUGGACAAACAGGAUAAUUAGACAUCGAUUCUGCCAAGACAGGCUCACUGUCUACAAAUGUUAUUGGAUGAAGACAUCAACCACUACACAGCAAGUUGGAGAGAUCCCCAUAUCAAAGAAGCAGGGAUGUCAGAGACAGGGGCUCUGCACUCAGAACAAGGGCUCCUGCCACCGAGGGUCGGGUCACUUGACCUGGAGGCAGUUGGCUUAAGCCGUGAAGGCCGUGUGAGAUGGCCACUUUGAGAGGAGAUGGGUGGCUGGGAGGCCUGACAGAUGGAGAACCUGGGCAGAUACAAAGGACCACUGUCUGGGCCAUAGUUGUCUCUCAAAAUGAACCAUUGGAUGACUGCUUCCGGCGCAGAGAAUGAACAGAAAAUGGGAGUAACAUCCGGACCAGAGGCAGGGAGCCUCACAUAAGGGCCUCAAGGCUUCCGCCUUUACACUGCUGGGCAAAAGGGGCUCCGGGGGGUUUGGGGCAGUGACGAGGGACUCCAAGACUUUGGCCAAACCUGUGCCGACGGAAGGCCCUGUCCCACGGCUGGAUUAUGCGGUGGACCCCUCCUUGCAGCGGGCCCCAAACUGCUGUCCUGCAUCUUAGUUCCCUGUGAC
RNAcentral lists this long non-coding RNA (870 nucleotides) under Bos indicus x Bos taurus (hybrid cattle). Its description in RNAcentral is "lncRNA (ENSBIXG00005003829.1)". Lineage: Eukaryota; Metazoa; Chordata; Mammalia; Artiodactyla; Bovidae. The record is from RNAcentral.